Long non-coding RNA from Neofelis nebulosa (Clouded leopard), 2726 nucleotides. RefSeq lists it as uncharacterized. The record is from RefSeq and is a predicted model, not a curated record. NCBI's taxonomy places the organism in Eukaryota, Metazoa, Chordata, Mammalia, Carnivora, Felidae. The transcript is spliced from 2 exons.
AGACAGAGAGAGACAGAGCAUGAAUGGGGGAGGGUCAGAGAGAGAGGGAGACACAGAAUCUGAAACAGGCUCCAGGCUCUGAGCCAUCAGCACAGAGCCUGAUGCGGGGCUUGAACUCACGAACCGUUGAGAUCAUGACCUGAGCCGAAGUCGGACGCUUAACCGACUGAGCCACCCAGGCGCCCCUAAGGGAAAAUUUUUUAAGAUGAAAGACACUAUGUCUGUAUGCUGAUGAGAAUGAUCUGGUAGAGACGAGGAAAUUAAUGAUGUGGAAGAGAAAAAGGGUGUUUACAGGAAUCGUGUCCUAGAGCAAAGAAGGAGGGAUAGAACUGAGUAUAUAAAUGGGAGGUUGGCCUUAACCCUGGCAAAGGGACAGUAGGCAGAAACAUGGGUUCCACUGCAAGAGGGUUGAUAAAUCCGGGUAAGACAAUAAGAAAGGUCUCUUCUCAUUGACUGUUUUCUCAGUGAAAGAAGAAGCCAGGUUGUCCACAGAAAGCAUGACACCUUGAGAAGAGAGCAGAAGGUGUGAGUGUAGCUGGACUGUCAGGCUGUGCUGAGGGCCAACUUCAUGUUAAGGUCAUAAAUUCAAAGUGUUAUGGUUGUGUUUUUCUCCAGCCACAUGCAAUUACUUGGGUAGAAGCUCAGGUUAGGCAGAAAAGUAGAUAUAAUUUGGGGAUUGUAAGUAGCAACAAAUAACACUCAUUGUCACCUCCUGUGUUCAGAGCCAACUGAAAGAUAGAUACAAAAGAGCAGCCUUCAUUAUUCUAAAAUGGAUAGGAGAAUGUAGCUUUAGGUAUUCAGACAAGUGAGUUGGUAAAUUCUCUACCCCAGACUCAUUUUGUUGCUGGCAAGUUCCUUCCCUUAUUGUAGAACAGGGAGAAAGAUUUUUUUUUAAUUUUUUUAAUCUUUAUUUAUUUUUGACAAAGGCAGAGAGACAGAGAGGGGAGGGACACAGAGAGAGGGAGGCAUAGAAUCUGAAGCAGGCUCCAGGCUCUGAGCUGUCAGCACAGAGCCCAACACGGGGCUCGAACUCACAAGCUGUGGGAUCAUGACCUGAGCCGAAGUCAGACGCCCAACCAACUGAGCCACCCAGGCGCCCUCCCCCUUUUUAUUUUUAAUUUUGUUUUAAUCUUUAUUUUUGAGAGAGAGAGAGUACAAGUAGGGGAGGAACAGAGAGAGAGAGGGUGACAUUGAAUCCGAACGAGGCUUCAGGCUCUGUGCACAGAGCCUGAUGUGGGGCUUGAACUCACGAACCACAAGUUCAUGACCUGAGCUGAAGUCAGACACUCAACCACUCAACCGACUGAGCCACCCAGGCACCCCGAACAGGGAGGAAGUUUUGAAGAGAGGGGAGAGGAAAGGUCUGAGCCAGGUAUGCCCCCUCCCAUCAGAUAACUCAUUCCACCUUUAGCAAGAGAAGGAAUUGAGGGAUGAGGAAAGUGGCUAACAGUCAGGCUACCCCAGGGAUUCGCAGCUCUGCCUGCACAUUGAAUCACCUGGGGAUAUUAAAAGAAAUCAAUGCCUGCGUACAAUUCCCAGAGAGUUCAAUUUAACUGGUCUGGGGUGCCAUCUAGACAUCUGAACUUUUUAAAGUUCCCCUAAGAGAUUUUGUUUUUGAGAGAGAGUGCAAGAGGAGAGGGACAGAGAGAGCGGGGGCUCCACACUAACAGCAGUAAGCCUGAUGUAGGGACCAAACUCCUGAAUCCCAAGAUCAUGACCUGAGCCGAAGUCGAAGGCUCAAACUGACUGAGCCACUCAGGAGCCCCUCCCUUAAGUGAUUUUAAUGUGAGGCCAACAUUUUUCCUUAACAAUAAAUAUAGUUGGAAUUGCCAGAUUUACGUGACAGAAGCAGAACGUGACAAAGGCAUCAAGAAUGGGUUUUUUAAAGUCAUUACUUGGAUGCACUGUGGGAAUUUAAAUUUUUUUAAUGUUUAUUAUUUAUUUUAGAGAGAGAGAGAGUGCAAACAGGGGAGGGGCAGAGAAAGAGGGAGACACAAAAUCUGAAGCAGGCUCCAGGCUUUGAGCUGUCACCACAGAGCCCGAUGCAGGGCUUGAACUUGCAAACUGUGAGAUCAUGACCUGAGCCAAAGUUGGUGGCUUAAAUGAUUGAGCCACCCAGGUGCCCCAAUGCACCACAGGAAUUUAAAGAGUCAAGUGAGAACAUGAGGGGAUUGGUUACACAACAAUAGUAGGGGUCAAUGGAUUAUGUGGAUGUCCCUGAAGGCUUGCAGAAUUGUUGGAGUUGAGCUACUGAGAAAGGCAGUUAGAAUAGUAGAUAAAGAUCAGAGAAUCAAAUGGUUAAGUUGAGAUUCCAACUGGGCUGUUAUCAAAAUUUUAAGUUCUAGGCUAUGACUGAUCAUGGGAGUCAUGAGUAUCAUAGUCAUAGGGACUAAGGCUGGGUGUAGAGCAAAAUCACUGGAGAUAAAGAGGCUGUGGCAAGAGAGAUCAGUGUGCUAAGUGAAUCAUCGAUGUGGAUUUUGAAAUGACCAGUGGUGACUGGAGUGAUAGUGGCCAUCACAACCUGGAAGAGACUAAGGCAUGCAGGUCCCUGGUUCUCAGGGACCAUGAGAUUCACUAGGAUCCUGGGCAAGUGGUCAUCUGUUUUGAAACUGCUUUCUUUUUCUUCUAAAAGACAGCCAACUCCAUCUAUGGUAGAUAUGAGGGAGAGAGGAUGAAAAGCAGGGAAAGAUGAUUGCAAAUGCUGUCUUUAGGUAUAUAGAGAAAAA